This is a small nucleolar RNA of Dendrobium catenatum, 107 nucleotides long. The record is from RefSeq and is a predicted model, not a curated record. Lineage: Eukaryota; Viridiplantae; Streptophyta; Magnoliopsida; Asparagales; Orchidaceae.
AUGAUAUUAUGGGUACAUUUUUAAAGUAACUCUUUCAACCUUUCUCAUGCUUCAUAAAUUAACUCUCCAACCAAUUGAGUGAAGGAAGUAAUGUCUUUCCUAAUCAU